Molecule: ribosomal RNA, 443 nt
Filed under: uncultured bacterium
Lineage: Bacteria
Description: partial 16S ribosomal RNA
Rfam family: Bacterial small subunit ribosomal RNA
Source: RNAcentral
CCUACGGGGGGCAGCAGUGGGGAAUAUUGGACAAUGGGCGCAAGCCUGACCCAGCAACUCCGCGUGAAGGAUGAAGGCUUUCGGGUUGUAAACUUCUUUUGUCAGGGACGAAGAAAGUCACGGUACUUGAUGAAUAUGCCACCGCUAAUUUAGUGCCAGCCGCCGCGGUAAUACGUAGGUGGCAAGCGUUAACCGGAUUUACUGGGUGUAAAGGGCGUGUAGGCGGGUGCGCAAGUCAGAUGUGAAAACUCAGGGAUCAACCCUGGACCUGCAUUUGAAACUGUGUUUCUUGAGUGCUGGAGAGGCAGGCGGAAUUCCGUGUGUAGCGGUGAAAUGCGUAGAUAUACGGAGGAACACCAGUGGCGAAGGCGGAUUGCUGGACAGUAACUGACGCUGAUGCGCGAAAGCGUGGGGAGCAAACAGGAUUAGAUACCCCAGUAGUC